RNAcentral lists this ribosomal RNA (474 nucleotides) under uncultured organism. Its description in RNAcentral is "partial 16S ribosomal RNA". It matches the Rfam family "Bacterial small subunit ribosomal RNA", at positions 335 to 800 of the family's 1533-position model. The record is from RNAcentral.
ACUCUUACGGGAGGCAGCAGUGGGGAAUUUUGGACAAUGGGCGAAAGCCUGAUCCAGCAAUGCCGCGUGAGUGAAGAAGGCCUUCGGGUUGUAAAGCUCUUUUGUCAGGGAAGAAACGGUGAAAGCUAAUAUCUUUUGCUAAUGACGGUACCUGAAGAAUAAGCACCGGCUAACUACGUGCCAGCAGCCGCGGUAAUACGUAGGGUGCAAGCGUUAAUCGGAAUUACUGGGCGUAAAGCGUGCGCAGGCGGUUUUGUAAGUCUGAUGUGAAAUCCCCGGGCUCAACCUGGGAAUUGCAUUGGAGACUGCAAGGCUAGAAUCUGGCAGAGGGGGGUAGAAUUCCACGUGUAGCAGUGAAAUGCGUAGAUAUGUGGAGGAACACCGAUGGCGAAGGCAGCCCCCUGGGUCAAGAUUGACGCUCAUGCACGAAAGCGUGGGGAGCAAACAGGAUUAGAUACCCUGGUAGUCCCAUGA